RNAcentral lists this ribosomal RNA (922 nucleotides) under uncultured Bacteroidota bacterium. Its description in RNAcentral is "bacterial SSU rRNA". It matches the Rfam family "Bacterial small subunit ribosomal RNA", at positions 1 to 916 of the family's 1533-position model. Lineage: Bacteria; Pseudomonadati; Bacteroidota. The record is from RNAcentral.
GGAUCCAGACUUUGAUUAUGGCUCAGGAUGAACGCUAGCUACAGGCUUAACACAUGCAAGUCGAGGGGCAGCAUGAACUUAGCUUGCUAAGUUUGAUGGCGACCGGCGCACGGGUGAGUAACACGUAUCCAACCUUCCGUUUACUCAGGGAUAGCCUUUCGAAAGAAAGAUUAAUACCUGAUAGUAUGGUGAGAUUGCAUGAUAGCACCAUUAAAGAUUUAUUGGUAAACGAUGGGGAUGCGUUCCAUUAGGUAGUAGGCGGGGUAACGGCCCACCUAGCCGACGAUGGAUAGGGGUUCUGAGAGGAAGGUCCCCCACAUUGGAACUGAGACACGGUCCAAACUCCUACGGGAGGCAGCAGUGAGGAAUAUUGGUCAAUGGGCGAGAGCCUGAACCAGCCAAGUAGCGUGAAGGAUGAAGGUCCUACGGAUUGUAAACUUCUUUUAUACGGGAAUAAAGUAUCCUACGUGUAGGAUUUUGUAUGUACCGUAUGAAUAAGCAUCGGCUAACUCCGUGCCAGCAGCCGCGGUAAUACGGAGGAUGCGAGCGUUAUCCGGAUUUAUUGGGUUUAAAGGGAGCGCAGACGGGAGAUUAAGUCAGUUGUGAAAGUUUGCGGCUCAACCGUAAAAUUGCAGUUGAUACUGGUUUCCUUGAGUGCAGUUGAGGCAGGCGGAAUUCGUGGUGUAGCGGUGAAAUGCUUAGAUAUCACGAAGAACCCCGAUUGCGAAGGCAGCUUGCUAAACUGUAACUGACGUUCAUGCUCGAAAGUGUGGGUAUCAAACAGGAUUAGAUACCCUGGUAGUCCACACGGUAAACGAUGGAUACUCGCUGUUGGCGAUAUACUGUCAGCGGCCAAGCGAAAGCAUUAAGUAUCCCACCUGGGGAGUACGCCGGCAACGGUGCAACUCAAAUGAAUUGACGG